Molecule: non-coding RNA, 260 nt
Filed under: Streptococcus sp.
Lineage: Bacteria; Bacillati; Bacillota; Bacilli; Lactobacillales; Streptococcaceae
Description: T-box sequence
Rfam family: T-box leader
About the family: Uncharged tRNA acts as the effector for transcription antitermination of genes in the T-box leader family. T-boxes are found upstream of many aminoacyl-tRNA synthetase genes and some amino acid biosynthetic genes usually in Gram-positive bacteria. The anticodon of a specific tRNA base pairs to a specifier sequence within the T-box motif, and the NCCA acceptor tail of the tRNA base pairs to a conserved bulge in the T-box antiterminator hairpin.
Source: RNAcentral
CUCAAGGCUUUGAAAUGAGAAAGUACAUAUUAUUGGUAUUUAGAGAGUGCACGGCAGGUGGGAGUGCAUUACUGAAAAUAUGGAAGGUGCUUCAUUGAGCUUUGAAUUGAACUGUCAAUUGACAAAGUAGAAGAUACGGUCGCUCUCGUUAUCGAGCUUAAAUAAGGACGAUAAAUAUCGAAUUUUCGUAAUUCAUAUUUAAAGUCUAUUAUCUUAAGAGAUAAAAAUCGGAGUGGAACCGCGCACAUAUCGCCUCCUGU